GCCGAGCUCAGCAGCGCGAGCUUGUAACCCGAGCGGGGGCUCUAAGGGUGAUGUGGACGUUGCCGUAUGGCUGUGGGCCUGGGUUGAGUGUGCUCUUGCUGGCCCGCCCGUUCCAAGUUGGUAGUGGACCGCUGGGGCUUGUGCGAAAGCUGGGCCUCACGGUCCCUAGAGUGGUAGGCACAGCGUGAGGCUGGCUUCACAGAGCAGCGACAACUGCCCGCUUCCAACGGUGGGAGGAUAACGGGCCGCUGCACUCUUGGCCCAUAUCAGGCUCCCAGCCUACUCCAACGGACCCAUCACCUUU
RNAcentral lists this signal recognition particle RNA (304 nucleotides) under Sorghum bicolor (sorghum). Its description in RNAcentral is "Plant signal recognition particle RNA". It matches the Rfam family "Plant signal recognition particle RNA". The record is from Rfam by way of RNAcentral. Lineage: Eukaryota; Viridiplantae; Streptophyta; Magnoliopsida; Poales; Poaceae.